This 76-nucleotide transfer RNA is filed under the name Corynebacterium alimapuense. It matches the Rfam family "tRNA". Rfam says of the family: Transfer RNA (tRNA) molecules are approximately 80 nucleotides in length. Their secondary structure includes four short double-helical elements and three loops (D, anti-codon, and T loops). Lineage: Bacteria; Bacillati; Actinomycetota; Actinomycetes; Mycobacteriales; Corynebacteriaceae. The record is from RNAcentral.
GCCCCGUUCGUCUAGUGGCCUAGGACGCUGGCCUCUCACGCCGGUAACACGGGUUCGAAUCCCGUACGGGGUACCA